GUCGACAUAGCUCAGUCGGUAGAGCAGGGGAUUGAAAAUCCCCGUGUCCUUGGUUCGAUUCCGAGUCCGGGCACCA
This 76-nucleotide transfer RNA is filed under the name Escherichia coli. RNAcentral describes it as "tRNA-Phe". It matches the Rfam family "tRNA". From Rfam's summary of the family: Transfer RNA (tRNA) molecules are approximately 80 nucleotides in length. Their secondary structure includes four short double-helical elements and three loops (D, anti-codon, and T loops). The record is from RNAcentral. Lineage: Bacteria; Pseudomonadati; Pseudomonadota; Gammaproteobacteria; Enterobacterales; Enterobacteriaceae.